Molecule: long non-coding RNA, 1157 nt
Organism: Erigeron canadensis
Lineage: Eukaryota; Viridiplantae; Streptophyta; Magnoliopsida; Asterales; Asteraceae
Exons: 2
Source: RefSeq, a predicted model, not a curated record
AUCAAUCUUAGACUGAAAUAUCACCGGAAAAAUCAACAACAACUACUACCACCACCGCCUGAUACUAACCGGAAAAAUCAACAACCACCACCACCAACCUUUCCUUACAACAACAAAAAAGCUUUUGACUUUUUGUAUACCAAGCUCAAAUCACAAAACCCACCAAAAGAAUAUAGAUAUUGAUAUAGAUCUAUAUCAACAAACACAUCUCCACCACAAGUCCACGCAACCACCUUAACACUCUAACACUCUAACCGGAGCUUGAUGGUGAUUUAAUGGCAGUUUCAUCUCAUUGAAUCUUUUUGCUUAUUGAUGGUGUUUGUUGAUGAAGAAGGCGAUGAUAAUGUAAUGUAUUUGAUUUUUGUAAGUGGGUUCCAAAAAAAUGUAAUGUGUUUAUAUGGAGAGCUGCUAUGGAUAGGAUCCCCACCUCGACUGCUCUUCAAGCUAGAAACUGUUGGUUUGAUAAUCCGGAAUGCGUAUUUUUUAAUUUUGGAUUUCACUAACAGGUAUGUAUUUGAUUUUUGUAAGUGGGUUCCAAAAAAAUGUAAUGUGUUUAUAUGGAGAGCUGCUAUGGAUAGGAUCCCCACCUCGACUGCUCUUCAAGCUAGAAACUGUUGGUUUGAUAAUCCGGAAUGCGUAUUUUGUGGGGAUGGAAUUGAGAAUGUCGAUCACCUUUUUUGUGAAUGUAUCACAGCAGCUAGAGUUUGGCAGCAUAUAAGCGAUUGGUGCAAGUCUCCUCCUUUUUUCGUGUUCAUUAUGAAGGACCUGCUGGAGUAUCAUGAAGUUAAAGGCAAAAGCAAGCUAGAAAAGACGGUUAUCAAGGGUAUUAUAAUGAUAAGUUGUUGAAGUAUUUGGAAGGCAAGAAACGAGAUCAAAUUCGCAAAGACCAAUUGUAAUGUGACGAGAAUUAUUCAAGACAUCAAGGCUUUCGGAUAUUUGUGGUAUAGGAAUCGUACAAAGAAUAAGAGUUUAACUUGGGAAGAUUGGUGUAAUUUUAAGUUUGUAUAAUUCUUGUAUAGUUACCGCCGGCGAUUUGCCGGGGUGUUUGUGAAUAAAAGUUUACUUUUCAAAAAAAAAAAAAAAGAAGGCGAUGAUAGAUACAUGUAUUUUAAAUUAGAGUUAAUUAAAAGAUUGAUCUCUGUGGUUUUUCCAUUUUA